RNAcentral lists this long non-coding RNA (1955 nucleotides) under Bos taurus (domestic cattle). Its description in RNAcentral is "long non-coding RNA NONBTAT018234". Lineage: Eukaryota; Metazoa; Chordata; Mammalia; Artiodactyla; Bovidae. The record is from RNAcentral.
GUGGUGACGGUGAUUGUCUUCGGAUCUCAUGCACUUUGAUGGAUGCUCUUGCUGCCAGGUGGGAGCAGGCUGCUUUCUUACAAAUGUCUUGCAGUUCUUCAGGGCACGGGUCAGUGGCCUUUCUUUCAGAGCAGCAUGUAGAGCUCUUUUGCCAACUUAGUAAACAGGAAAUUUUUCGUGGCUGGAAGCAAAAGUAAUGGUAAUUUUGAGUAUGUGUUUAGAAAUCGCCCCUUACCUCAUUGAAGGUCACGGUGGUUCAAGAGUGUGGGAAUGGAGUCUCCACUGAUGAGUCACCCUCUCCGUUUCCCUUGUCCCCCACCCAUGACUGGCUGGAGAGCUUAGUCAGUUUGAGGACUGCUAGCAAGCCUGGCUGGCUAGCCUUCCGCAUCUCACAAGGGUAUGUCCCCGGCCCAAGAUGAAAACAGCCUAACAGAGCCACGAUAGCUCCUAAGAAAAAAAGAUUUCUGAUUUGUCCUACUGAUGUCAGGUUGGAGCAUUAUCUCUGAAAAUAAAGUGUAGUGUCAGGCUUAAUAGCACAAGGGACUGUUUCAGUAAUAGAAGUUAGCGUCAUAAGGUAGGUUGGACAUAGCAGACUGUCCAGAGUGAUCUGAGCUCUGAAAUCCAGGUGGUGAACUCACCAUCUUUCAUGCUCUGUGGACAAGUAUCUUGGACUUAAGAGGGCUUUUGGUUUUCAGUGAGACCUGAGACCAGGGAUGCAUACGCCUAAGCUGUUCAUCGAAUGGGAACGCCACUUGGACUGAAAGUGUUUGGAGGACUGUGGCAGUUCUAGGCUGGGCUCAGGAGAUUCAAUAGAUUGGCUGUAACUAAAGCUUUAGAAUUUGUCAUCUGCCUCUGAAUAGGCUUUCCAGGGUGUCUGUCUCAUUCUUAGGUUUACCUCUGGGCCUCUGCAUGCCGAAGCUGGCCUUUCAUCCCUGGCAGAUCGGUAACGUGCUGGCCACCACUGGCUCUGUCAACCACAGCUGGUUCUCCCGUGGCCUUCACCAUGGCACAAGGAUAGAGGAGUGCAGGGCGAUCCACAUCCACUCCAUGUGCAGGACUGGCCUGGCUUCAGUCUUUGUUUUCUAAGCAAGUGAUUCCAGUAGAGAGUUUCUUGUUUCCUCUUAGGAGAGCUUUAAAGAGCCCUGCUUCUCUCUGCAGGGGCUUGGAGCUCACCCUGCUCACUGUUGGUACCGCCGCCUUACCCCACAUUAACCUGGAUACCUAGAACUGCUAAAAUAGGAAGAGCUUCUGCUUUUCACCUUUGCUACUACCUUCCCUCAAGCAGAUAAAUAAACAUGGACUUACAUGUCCUUCAAACAAAAACCAAAGUUUUGGAUUUCCACAUGGUAGUGAUAGGGAGGCCAGACUGUUCCAUCUGCCACCAGUUUGCCCAGCUCAGGUUGCACCAGGGACACCGUCCUGCCCCAGGAGGGCCAAGGCCUCGCCCUCAUGGAGGGUGAUUGAAAUAGCAGGAAUGUGUUGAUUUCUUGGCUACUUUGCAUUAUAACAAAGAAGAAUCAGAAGUCUAAUUAGAAGUUGUCUUCAGCAACCUACUGUGUGCAUUUUUUUUCACACCGGUACAUUCUUAAGCAUCCUUGUUUAUAUAGAAUAACAUAAACUAAUCUGUACCUUCUCUGCCUCCUCCCCAAGCUGUCAGAUAGCCUUCCUACUCAAAUCUAAAGCAGUAUUAAGAUCAUUACUGCAUGUGCACUAAAAACCCAAGUUUUCUGUUCCCUUGGGGCAGAAAAUUGCAUGUGAGGUGGAAUAAUCAAGUUUCAAUGACCUAUGUCAGUUGCACAACAAAGCCAGACCCCAGAAUAAAAUUCCACAAAAUGGAAAUAAAACUCAAAUUUCUUUAGCACUGUGUAAAUAAAUCUGGAUGUGUUUAACUUUGUACUGGUAAUUUUCUGUAUAUUUGCAAUAUUUGGGUUAGAAAUAAAACAGACUGGACUUUA